This 30-nucleotide non-coding RNA is filed under the name Mus musculus (house mouse). Lineage: Eukaryota; Metazoa; Chordata; Mammalia; Rodentia; Muridae. The record is from RNAcentral.
UGGUAACCUCAAGUACUAGCAACUGGAUGG